RNAcentral lists this long non-coding RNA (16474 nucleotides) under Manihot esculenta (cassava). RNAcentral describes it as "long non-coding RNA (MESC_LNC006827)". The record is from RNAcentral. Lineage: Eukaryota; Viridiplantae; Streptophyta; Magnoliopsida; Malpighiales; Euphorbiaceae.
AAUUCUAUUUGGGAAGAAAUAGGAUCAAGCUUGACAGCAACUCAGUCAGAUCAUCAAAGGCACAAGUUCCAACAUACUCGUUCAUAAUCUUGAGGAUGUUAUCACGAGUUCGGCAGAGGAGACUGAUGUCCUUCUGUAGCUGAAAAAGAAAAAUAUAAGAAAAAUGCCUUCAGUUUCACAGCUACAACUGCAAGACAUGCAUGAAGCAGGAUAGCAAACGCUUUUCACAGAAAUUACGGGUCAAGAAGCACCACCACAAACAUCAUUAAAGAGAAAACAAAAGCAUUACCCCAUUUGAGAAUUCUAAUUUGGGACCUGAUCAGAUCCAAUAUUAUUAAAUUACAAAUAUCCAACAAAUUUCUGACCUCCCUCCAAAUACUGGCCAAGAAAAAGGUGUUUUUCGUAUUAUGAAUUGCCACAAUGACCCAUCAUAAAUUCUUCCUCCUUAUCUUGAACCUCAUUAACGACAUCACAUUCAUCCAUUAAAUGAUUACAAGUAUAACUUAACAUAAGUUUCUUGACAUGAUGUGCACUUGAGGCUGAAUCAUCUCCCUUCAUCAACUCAUUUACAAUCACACACAAACUGUUUCAGGUGGAAGCAGAAAAUGGUAAACUCCAAUUAAUUUAUCUCAAAGCAAGAGAUGCAUACCUGCAUAAAUGAAAGCAUAAGGUAGCCUAGUUAGCUUUUACUAGACUACUUCAUCUCAAGAACUCUAUGGUGUUUUCAUUAUAUAACAUUUAACAGAAACUGCUAAUAUGAGUACAUGAGAUGUCCAAUCACUAACCCAAUUGAAAUCUACAUCCAUUAUCAAUUCAACCGUAUUUAAGGUUUUUAUGAACCACAAUGACUUAAUUCCGUAUGCUUGGAGAGAGGGGUUGAAAUCAACCCAUAAAGAAACUUUUCAUAGAAGAUUCUUUUAAUAUAACACUAUUAAUCCAGAAAACCUCUCAAGUGUUUUAUAAUAUGCAUCCAGAAAGGCUGUACAUUGAAAUCUUCUGACUCUGCUUAAGAUAAAAAGGGUUUCAUCAUUAAUGAUGCUCGAAUAUCAAGAUGCUGUAAUCAAUUAACUACAUGUUCUAUACAGAACUAACAUUGUAUCAAUUAUCAGAGACGAAUAUUUUCUCUAAGCGGAGAAUAAAUUCUCAAUGUGGCUAUAUAGCCGACCAUAACUGGUUUUAAAAUUGAGAUUUAGUUAAGUGAUGCCCUAAAAUAGGAAAGUAGAGAACUCCUGAAGAGCAAAAGUUCAGAUCUUGGCCGUGAAAUAAUAAUUGGUAACUUCCUAUGUAUAAUGAAUCAAGAACUACAAAUGUCUGCACGUGAACACAUACAGAGAAAUACAGGGAAAAGUAAGCAAAUCUACAGUACCAACACCCAACAUGAAAAUGCACAUCAUAAAAUGCCUCCAAUUCUUCCAAUCACCCAACUAUUACAUUCACAUUGUUGAGUUGUUACUUUUUAGUUCACAAUUACUGGUAGGAAAACAACAGCGAAUCCAAUAACAAAAAAUAUCAUGACAAUUAGGAUGCCAUUGAUCACAAAAGGACUUUGAUGGGGUUCAAUAGCUGGACAAAAACAAUAGCAGCUAAGCCUUAUUCCCAAAUUAGUUGGAGUCAAUUAUAUGGAUAUUUUUUUGCUGUUCAGCUUUACUUGAUAAUUCUUUUAUAUUACUUUCCUCCACUUCAUUUUAGGUCUCUCUCUUUCCCUUCUCGUUUCUUUUACCACUAGCUUAUCAUAUAUCCAUGCUACGACAUUCAAUACUCUAUGUUGGAUAUAAGCAAACUACCAUGAUAGAUUGUCUCCUUUGUUAAUAAAAAGAGGAACCAGAGUGCUUUUUGUCCAGUCAUUUGGCAUCUUUCCAUAUUUUAGUAUGUAAAUAGUUCCAUUAGCCAAGUGUUGUGAAGAGCUUGAUUCUGCUGGUUAGUCAUUUAGCCAAGUUAUGUCCUCUCUCUCUAUUUCUCGCCUCCCUUCCUUCUUCUUCUCUUUCUUGUCCCCUUUCUUCUGUAUUUUCCUCUCUCCUUCCCUCUCUGUUUUCUAUUGAGUUGUGGCCCUGCCACAACAUUUGGUAUCUGAACAGUUCAAUCCGGCAGAUCUAAAACCAGCACAACUUAAAUUGGCAAGGAACAAGCAAGGUAUUUGCUGAGAACCUUAGAUCACAGAAUCUGAUGGAGCAAAUGCAGUUGCAGAAUCAUAAAAUCCAAGAUUUGAGCUCGGAAUUACAUAAAAUUGAAGAAAUGAUGGAAAUGAUGAGAGCCUCACAAUGAAAAGGGAAUGGAACCACAAUUCCUGAAACUCUGGCCAGGCCAGCGGAAAAGGAAUAAGCGAUGGAGAAUUCCAUAAUUGGAAAAUACCAGGCUUCAAAUUAUUGAGGAACACAUGUUGAAGUUGAUUAAAGCUGCACAACUGAAAGUCCACAGGCCUGAGGCAUCUUGGAGCGAGGACCAUGAAUUGAGAUUAAAGUCUUUAAUAAGGAAGGUACAUCUCUUGCUGCUAGACUUGAUAUAACUUUUUGAAGACAAAAAGUGCAUUUUUCGUUGAGAAGGUUUCAAUUAAAGAAGAGGAUGUGAAAGUUUAACUGUUUGUGAAAAUGACAAAGUGAAUUGCAGAGGUCUUACAAGCCUUGAUAAGAAGUAUCCUAAGAUGAGUAUCUUUUCUAUUUGUGAAAUAUGAAUAAAUUUGGGAAUGACAUUUCUUAAUAAGAAGUAUCCUAAGAUGGGUAUCCUAACAUGUAUGGCUAGACAUCAAUAAUCAAUUAACAGUUCAUUUCUUGAAGGUGUUCAUGUCAUGCACAAGGCAUCUUCAACAAGUUAUUUGGCAGCUGCUCUAUUAACAGCCAGUUUCAACAUGUAAGACGUUACUUGUGCGUGUUAAUCUUCAUUAAAGGCCAAUUUACACAACUCAUCCUUGAGUACAAGAAUGCUUUCACAAGGGAGGGUAAUGUUGUGACCGCGAGCUAAGAUAAGAAGAGCUCGAGUCCGCUGGUUAGUUAGCUAACUGUCUGUUGGCUGAGUUCACAGACUAGUUAGCUGGUUAGUUGUGAAUCAGUUAGUUAGUUAGCUAGUUAGAUGAGAAAAUAACUGUAACAAUGAUUGGCCAGAUGAUGAUCCAAACUCCCAACUACCAUCAACGCCGCCCAAUCUUCAUUUUGAUGCUAAUAGAGAUUAUGAUAGAAUAAUUGAAGGUUCAGUCAGAAAAGUACAGAUAGAAUUGGAAAUAAAUUUGGCAAUUGAGACAAAAUUAUCAUAUUUAAUGGUAGUGCAUAAAAUUGAAAACCAUGAAAGUGUCCUUAAGCCACAUAGAGAAUAGAACCAAAGUUUUUUUUUUUUUUUUUACUAAGCUUUCCUGAAAUCAAUAGUAAGAAAAACUGGUUAUACUGGGUUAGUUAAGACCAAAAAAAGGAAGAUGUGUAAAAUUUAAUAAAUGUAGCUAAAGUAAUAUUCUUUCAGCUUGACAAUUCAGUUCUAAAUAAUCCUUUAUACCAAGAUAUUGAAAAUACAAAAGAAUCACAUAUUAACAUCUAGAUAAACAAGGGAAAUAUACAUGAGAAAUGUCAUCACUCUUCAUUCUAUUGGUGGAAAAGUAUGACCAGUAUAAUAAUUAAUAAUUAAUUAAGGAGAGAAAAUAUAAAAUAUUUUCCAACCAAUUGAUUGGAGAGCGUUGGACAAUCAUAUUGAAAAAGUGACUGUUCUAGGCAUUUCUCAAUGUACAUUAACAUUUUGAGGAACUUGGUUAGUAACAAUCUGCAUUUAUGGAGUAUUUAGUUCAUAAAAGUGGAGUGGGAUCCUUUUUUUUGGGUAUAAAAGAAACAUGCAAAAUGAUAAAUCUUGAUAGAAUUUAUAUGCGUCUAAUCAAGACCUCAAGUAACAAAAUUAUCAAGAACUCAACAAAAAAUGAAAUUCAGGCAAAGAUUCACAAAACGUGAAAUAAUCAAUACAAACCCCAACAAAAAAAUCACAAAUAAACAGAAUCAAGAAAGGUUGGAAUAACCCAAUUUAAGAAAAGCAUCAAGAAACUAAGUAAACUAGAAAUGAGAAUGACUAACUUGACUAAACCAUCUUCAAGAAUUGUUUGCUCUUCCUUGCUCCAUUCAGUGGAGAUACCAGGGUCGUGUCUCAGACCUGGAAUAGGACUUGCUGUUUUAGUGGGAUUUGCUUCAGUGAAGAAGAGGGCGCACGAUUGGAAUCUUGACGAUGGGUAUCAGAUGGGUUCGCCAUAAAAGAAAGAGAACAAUCAAAAGAAGAGAUUCUGUAGUCCUAUAUUUACAGAUACACAAAUCCCAAAUGCAAAAAACAAGAACAAGAAUCACAGAAUCUCAAAGCUUUGAAAACUUUCUCACCAGCAAUGGAGUUCCAGCCAUAAAAACAAAGAUUGAGAAGAUGGUUUUUAAGGAUUUUAGAGAAAUAUCAGGAGAUGGGUUUUGAGUUUUGAGAUGAAUGAAAUGAUUUUAUAUCCUUUUCUUCUAUAGAAAUAUAUGAAGAAACGGAUUCAGAGACAUGCAGCGUAUGAGACUGAAGGGAGCUCUCGCCAUUUACAACGGAAUUAGAGAGUGGGACGCGUACAGAAUCUAAAUGAAAAUAAUUGAAUCUUACCUCUGAUUUUGUAUUUAUUUUUGGGUAAAGUUUAAUUUAGUCCCUCUGGUUUAGUGAAAUGUAACAUUUCGUCUCUCUGUUUUAAAAAACCUUUAAUUUAGUCACUGUAAUUUUUAAAAACUAUGCAAUUAGUCCCUCCCGUUAGAUUUUCAGUUAAAUCACCGUUAAUUUUAGUUAAAAAGACUAAAAUACCCAUCCUUUUUCCUUCCUCUUCCUCUUCCUCUUCUUCUUCUUCUCUUCUCCUUCCCGAUCUCCUUUCUUCUUCUUCUUCUUCUUCUCUUUUCCGAUCUCCUUCUUCUUCUUCUUUUUCGAUCGAAAAUCUUGAUUUUCCAUCUUCAAUCAUCACACCUCUGUCUAUAUUAACCUUGAGGAGCUCACACAUAUUGCUCUGUUUCGAUUUGCACUGUGCACAUUCCUUGCAUUCGCCUGUGAAUAUAGGCAGGACGUGAUCGCCUGGUUCGAGUUCUGUCACACCCUCACCAACACUCUCCACAAUCCUUAAACCCCCCCCCCCCAGAAAAAAAAAGAUAAAAAUGUGAACAUGUGCUCGGAUCAAACACAUGAAAUACUCAUGGCAGAGGUUUACAUACCCUCCAGCCUCAUGACCAAAAAUUCUAGGAAACAAAGUACUCUGUCCCUGCCAGCGUAGAUAAAACAAGAAUCAUUGUGUGAGAGAUCAAGAAUGGAUAAUUUGUUCAGAGCAGAAAUCUGGGGUGGAAUCGUCCCAGUGAGUGCAUUACAACUCAAAUUCAAAGCAAUAUUAAGACCUUCAAUAUCAAAAAGUUCCACUGGGAUCAUGCCAGAUAGUGCAUUGCUACUAAGAUCAAGAAGUUGAAGGCUCAAACAAUGGCCAAGAGAGGAAGGGAUUGCUCUAAACAGAGAGUUCUUGUUGAGGAUGAGUCUGUUGAGUGAACUAACUUUGCCAAAACCACUUGGAAUUUCACCCACAAAUUGAUUUACAGAAAGAUCCAAUACCUCAAGCCUUGUCAAAGAAGAUAAAGAGCUAGGCAGAGUGCCUCGAAGGGUAUUGUUGCUUAAGUUCAGCAUCUGCAGCUCAUUGCAAUUGCCAAUUUCUGCUGGCAGCGUUCCACCAAUAUGGUUUUCAGACAAGUCGAGGAAACUGAGGUUUUUCAGGAGCCCGAUUUCUUUUGGAAUUUCUCCACUGAUUCUGUUAUUAACAAGCCGAAGACGAAUAAGAGAGACACAGUUUCCCACCUCAGGAGGAAUCGAACCGAAAAUGUCGUUAGCAAUUAAGAGAAGCUUUGUCAGGUUCUGAAGCUGAAACAGGCUUGGAGGUAAGCUACCAGUAAGUGAAUUUUGUGACAAAUCUAACGCUUUAAAUCCCCAAACCUCUCUUUCUCUCUCUCUAAAAUGAUUCUUAUCUUAAAACUCAACCCAGCACAGCUUCCUUUGCAAAUAAGCAAGAACAAGAGAGAAACCAACAAAAACAAGAAAGAUUAAAGAUUUUCAACCACUCCACCAUCUUCACCUCGGGGUUCUGUUCUUGCUUCAUCUUUUUGGUCUUUGUUUAUUUGAAUAGAUUCUUGGUAGAGUAUUGGGUUGCAGAAGAAGAAGAGGAAGGAGAGAGAUCGAAAAAGAGAAGAAGAAGAAGAAGAAGAAGAAGAAGAAAAAGAAGAAGGAGAUGGGGAAGGAGAAGAAGAAGAAGAAGAAGAGGAAGAGGAAGGAGAGAGAAUGAGUAUUUUAGUCUUUUUAAUUAAAAUUAACGAUGAUUUAACUGAAAAUCUAACGAGAGGGACUAAUGUUAUAGUUUUUAAAAAUCACAGGGACUAAAUUGAAGGUUUUUUAAAACAGAGGGACGAAAGGUUAUAUUUCACUAAACCAGAGGGACUAAAUUACACAUUACACUUUACCCUUUAUUUUUUGAAUUGUAUAAUUAUUUAAUUUUUAAUAUAUAUAUAUAAUUUUUAAAUAUUUCUUUAAUUCAUAUAAUUUCAACCGUUUAAAAAAAUAAAUGAAUUAAAAGUGUAAUUUUAAUUCAUAAUUCUUUGAGUUUAAAUUAAAAUAUAUAUACAAAUCUAUUUAAUUAAUUGAAUUUAAAGUUGAAUAGAAAUCAAAUCUCUCGCAUCAAAGUAAAAUUUUUCAAAUUCUAAAUUAAAAUUUUCUAACAAGAUCAUAUCCAUUAUUGAAAUAAAAAUUGAAUUUAAAUACAAAACUCAUCUGAUCAAUUCAUAUCAAUAUAUGAAUUUUUUUUUUCAAAUUUUAAACAAUGUAGACUAUUAUCUACUUCAUUAUCUUAUAAAUAAAAUAUAUAUUAUCGUAUAAUUAUUUUUUAAAAAUAUUGAAGUUGUUAUCAAAUAAUUUAAUAUUAUAAUAAUUAUCUUAAUAUUUCAACAAAAAAAUUAUUUAAAAAUUAAAUUAUUAUUGUCCUAAAGUGAAUUAUAUUAUUACUUUAUUACCUUAUUAUAAUCUUUAAGGUAUUUACAUAAUAAAUAAACUGUUAUAACAUUUAAAAUUAUGAAAUGAUAAAACCAAGUUAUGGAAUCAUCAUAAUUUUAUUUUUAAAAUUAAGUAGUUUAAUUAAGAUAACCUAUUUCAAAAAUAAAAAAUUAUUUUCUAAUAAUAUUAUUAUUCCAAUAAUUUUAAUAUUUAAUAUUUUUAUUAGAAUUAAACAAUCAUUAUCAUAUGGUUAAACCAUAUAAUUACUUUAUAAUCCUAUUUUUUCCCAAAAAAAAAAUCAAAAACUGUUAUCAAAAUUAUUGUCAAUUGUUAUCAUGGAAUAUGGGCGAAAAUGAAAACCCACAUUUUUAUUUUGGAAGAAUUUUAUGUUGUAAACCCACAUUUUUAUUUUGGAAGAAUUUUUUUGUUGUUUGUUCAAGUAUGAGAUUACAUAGAAUAACCGACAAACCGAUCAAGUUAAUAGUUUUUUCUUUUACUUUGGUUGAAUAUGCUAAAAACCGGCUUUAUUAUUUAUCUCUAGUAUCAAUUACUAUCUAAAUACAAAUUAGAGAUUUAUUUUUAAAAAGAUUUUUUUCAACAAUUAAAACCUUAUCUCUUAAUACUGCUAAAGGAUAGGAAAUUGUGACAAGACUGUUUUUAUCUAAUCUUAACUUGUUAAAAACGUUUAAGAUGAAAAAGUUAACGAAACUAUAUGCAUCUACCAAUACUCGCCUUAUCUCGUACUGAUUCAGGAGGAUCAUAACAACCAGCAGGUCAUUUUGAAAGAAUCCAACCGCUUUAUCAGCAGGACUGAACCUUACCUCUUACUUGGUCCUUGGUGCUUUAUCAACUAACAAGACAUCUUCUGCUACAUGCUUAUUUUUUCUUUACCUUUAUCAGGUUCUCCCAUAAUGAUAUGUACAAUUCCAACCAUUUUAAAAGAUAAAGACGAAAUGUUCCUUUGUUAAAGAGAAAGGAAACAAGAGACCGGUUUUAAUCCAAAUAAACAAAGAUAUAAUUCAAAGAAUUUCCUGACAACGAAGCCGAAUGAUGUUGCAGAGAUUAGACUGAUGAUGUGGUCGGAAGGAAGCUACGCUGUGAUGGAUUGGACCUACAAAGAAGAGAACGUGAGGUGGUGGAUGCUCACGGCAGCCACUCUGACACUCAAGUCACUCAGGUCAGUAUACUGAAGAAAAGAGAGAGAAUGCAAUGAAUUGCUGAGAGUUUUUGUAUAAGAGAAUCGCAUACCUUUUAUAAGAGAAUCGCAUACCUUUUAUAUCAUAAGAAGGUGGAGAUAAAUAUAAUAUUUCUCAAUAAUUUGGUGAUGAUGUGAUCAGCUACUUGAUAAGGGAUCGCUAGCUAAUAGGUUGGUAAUCUUACGAUUACAGGCGUAAUAGGGAUGCGCUGGACUGCGCUUGAUAAUGGUAACUUCAUAUAGAGACUCGCCCUGUCGUGAGAAUGGCGAGACUUGAUGAUCCGAGUGUUAAAAUAUUUAGAUUUUUUUUUCCUCGGAAUGAACCGUGUUUCCCACUUAUCCUUUUUCACGUGACCUUAUCUUCUAGUAAUAACUCGUAACUUAUUUUAUUUUGAGCGAUUAUUAUGUAGUAUCACUUAUAUUUUAUUAUUAAAUUGUAAUAUCAAAAAAAGCAAACAGAGUUAAUAAGAUUCAUGUAUAAUUUCUAAAAAUAUAUAUAAAAAUAAAGUAACACUUUAUAAUUUUUCUUACAAAUUUAAAAAUUUAAAACUCACAAAUAAACUAUUAUCAUUAAUAAAAAAUAGAAAUAUAUGUACACAGCUCUCUCAUUCUUUCUGCUAUUAUAUAAGAUUUGUGAAUUUACUGUUUUUUUUUUUAAUUUUUAUAAAUGAUUUUAAUUAGAAUUUAAACUCGAAUCAUUAUAAUUUUAAUUAGAAUUUAAACUAAAUAAUAUAUUAAAAAAUUUAUUAUCUAGUCUAUAAAAUAUAAAAAACCAUUAAUUGAUUUAUCGAUUUUGAAAAAUAAAUUAAAAAUCUCCAAAAUUUUAAAAAAUAUAUAAAGCCUAUCCAUUAACUUUAGUUAUUAAAUAUUUUAUAUUUAAUUUAUGUGUUACUAUUUUAAAUUUUUUUUACAAUAUUUAACAACUAGUCUAAAUAGUCUUUUAUCAUUUUGUAUAAGAGAAUCGCAUACCAUUACCUUUGUGAUUCUUCUCCUUUUAUAUUAUAAGAAGGUGGGGAUAUAUAUAAUAUUUCUCAAUAAUUUAAUGAUGAUGUGAUCAGUUACUUGAUAAGGGAUAUUGCUAGCUAAUAGGUUGGUAAUCCUAUGAUUAUAAGCGUAAUGGAGAUGCGCUAGACUGCGCUUGAUAAUGGUAACUUCAUACAGAAACUUGCUAUGUCGUGAGAAGGGCGAGACUUAUGAUAAUCCGAGUGUCAAAAUCAAGGGCGAGACUUGAUGAUGAUCUGAGUGUCAGAGUGUUCGUGUUUUCCACUUAUCCUUUACUACGUGACCUUAUUUUGUAAUAAUAAUUUAUAAUUUAUUUUUAUUUGAGCGAUUAUUAUGUAGUAUCACUUAUCUUCUAUUAUUAAGUUGUAAUAUCAAAAAAAGUAAACAGAGUUAAUAAGAUUCAUGUAUAAUUUCUAAAAAAAUAUAUAAAAAUAAAGUAACACUUUAUAAUUUUUCUUACAAAUUUAAAAAUUUAAAACUCACAAAUAAACUAUUAUCAUUAUUUUUUUUUAAAACUAUUAUCAUUAAUAAAAAAUAGAAAUAUACGUACACAGCUCUCUCUUUCUUUUUGCUAUUAUAUAAGAUUUGUGAAUUUACUGUUUUUUUUUUUAAUUUUUAUAAAUGAUUUUAAUUAGAAUUUAAACUCGAAUCAUUAUAAUUUUAGAUACAAUUCAAUUGUACUAUUUCUGAAUAAUAUAUUAAAAAAUUUAUUAUAUAGUCUAUAAAAUAUAAAAAACCAUUAAUUGAUUUAUCGAUUUUGAAAAAUAAAUUAAAAAUCUCUAAAAUUUUAAAAAAUAUAUAAAGUAUUAUCCUGACGAAAACAACUCGAGGUCGAGUUUUUUACAAGUGGAAGGGAAUGAUAUGGAGCAGUUAGCCUUGGACUUUAUGGCAGACUUGGACCGGGCCUAACUUUUGUUGCCGACAUCCGAUAGAGACCCACGAUAGCUUUUCGGAAAGGGAGUUUCGAGACACACAACUUUCAAAAGUGUGACGAGGGCUGUAGGCCUAUCACAAAGUUCGAUAUGGAAAUUUCAUCGUUUAUGGAGUCAAUUUUACAAUUUAAUUAAUUUUUUAGAUAUUUUAGGUAUUUUUGUAAUUUUAUAUAUUAGGAUUUUAUUUCUAUUAUAAAUAGCCUCCCUUAACUAUUAGAAAACACUUUUCAAUCUUUGAGGAAUUUCAGUAAGAAUUUUAGUCUUUUAUCCUAUCUUUUCUCUUAUUUCGUCUUAGCCAAACGAUAUUGGUUGAAACUCUUAACGGAGUCUAAAUAGUCCUUUAUCAUUUUGUAUAAGAGAAUCGUGUACAUUUAUCUUUGUGAUUCUUCUCCUUUUAUAUUAUAAAAAGAUGGAGACACUUCACACCUCGGAACGCACCGUUCUUAUAGAGAGAGGCGCUUUCGCAUCUUCUUAUAAAUAUAAUAUUUCUCGAUAAUUUAGUGAUGAUGUGAUCAGUUACUUGAUAAGAGAUAUUGAUAGCUAAUAGGUUGGUAAUCCUACGAUUAUAGGCAUAAUGGGGAUACGCUGGACUGCGCUUGAUAAUGGUAACUUAAUACAGAGACUCGCCCUGUCGUGAGAAGGGCGAGACUUGAUGAUAAUCCGAGUGUCAAAAUCAAGGGCGAGACUUGAUGAUGAUCUUAGUGUUAGAGUGUUCGUAUUUUCCACCUAUACCUUUGCUACGUGACCUUAUCUUGUAAUAAUAAUUCAUAAUUUAUUUUAUUUUAAGCGAUUAUUAUGUAGUAUCACUUAUCUUCUAUUAUUAAGUUGUAAUAUCAAAAACAAGUAAACAGAGUAAAUAAGAUUCAUGUAUGAUUUCUAAAAAAAUAUAUAAAAAUAUAAAAAAUCAUUAAUUGAUUUAUCAAUUUUGAAAAAUAAAUUAAAAAUCUCCAAAAUUUUAAAAAAUAUAUAAAGUCUAUCCAUUAACUUUAGUUAUUAAAUAUUUUAUAUUUAGUUUAUAUGUUAAUAUUUUAAAUUUUUUUACAAUAUUUAACAACUAAAAUUUAAUAAAAAGACUAAUUAACAAAUUUUUUAAAAAUUUAACUAAUGAGCUUUCUAGACCACAUAUAACAAAUAGUAGUUUUUCCAAGUUUAUUAAGCUAAAACACAGUGAAAGCUGCAUCUUACAUAAGAUGANNNNNNNNNNNNNNNNNNNNNNNNNNNNNNNNNNNNNNNNNNNNNNNNNNNNNNNNNNNNNNNNNNNNNNNNNNNNNNNNNNNNNNNNNNNNNNNNNNNNNNNNNNNNNNNNNNNNNNNNNNNNNNNNNNNNNNNNNNNNNNNNNNNNNNNNNNNNNNNNNNNNNNNNNNNNNNNNNNNNNNNNNNNNNNNNNNNNNNNNNNNNNNNNNNNNNNNNNNNNNNNNNNNNNNNNNNNNNNNNNNNNNNNNNNNNNNNNNNNNNNNNNNNNNNNNUUAUCCCAACAGCAAACAACUGAUAACAAAUCGUAUAUGAUUCAAACAUGCGAAAAUUAAAAUUUCACAUCUUUAUUUAUUUGCACGCAUAAGGGAGUAAAUCUAUAAAUUUAAACUAAAAUUAGUUUUUCGGUCCAAUCUCGCCCGCACGAGCCUUACUCGCUCUUUACAAGUCUAAUAACAAAAAUUCAUUUAUAAAUCAAGAAUUCAUUAUCUUAUUAUACAUAAAACAAACCAUUUAUUAAAAAUAUGAUAUUAUAUAUAGUAAAAAAUUAAAUUUCUCAGCAGUAAUUUUAAAUUAUUAUCAUACUAUUGGCUCAAUAGUAUUAAGAUAACAAUUUACUCUAAAAUGCGAUCGUGUUUGAAGAAUUUAUAACCUUGAUUGAUGGUUCCAGCAAAAAUAUUGUGGGUACCCAUUUGAUAUAGCAGAUUGAAUAUCUUUUCUUGGCGAUGUUUUACAGCAAGAAGAAAAAUGUUUUGUCCAGCCAUAUUCCUUAGCCAAACCGUGCCAGGGUAGGACUUAAUCAUCUCAGUAACGAAUUCUCGGAUGCCUAAUAUUGCAGCAAUUCUUGUUGGAGGUCCUAAUAGAUUAUCAGCUUCUAAAACACUCCCUUUUAAAGCUUCAGAAAUCAAGAAUCUGAGUAGCUCCAUUGCUUGCUUAUGCAUCACUUUUGUUUUCUGUAUGUGCUGUAGGAAUUGAAACUGCAAGGAUUCGUUUUUGUAUUCAUCAAAACUCCCACCUGGAGUUUCUACGUCUUUGCCUUGAUGAACACUUGUUUUAUCUGCAGAAGUAACUGCAAAAUCUGCAGAGAAAAGGCCUAGUCAAUGAGUGAUCUAACUCGCAUACAGAUGGACUAAACUUCUCUAACUAAUAAAUUUUUACUUAUGAAAUAAUUAACUAGUAGAUUUUUUAAAAUGUCUGACUGUUUUAAAUGUGUUUUAAAAAAUAAGAGACUAACAAUUGAUUUCUUGCAUAUCACGGAGAUUAAACAAUAAAUUUCACUAAAUGAAACAGAUCAAGAUUGCUAGACCAACAAUGAUAGAGAAAACGCUGAAAAAAUCCAAGCCGACUUCCACUUAAGAAUGCAUGAGGUUUUUCAACCAAUCUGUCUAAAGCUGAAAAUCCAUUAUAGUCUCUUUUGCGAGCUAAUCCAGGGUAGCGUUGCAACACACUAAGAGCAAUGCCUGUUCAUGAAAACAUGAGAAGAAAAUGGUUAUCAACGGAUCAUAGCUGAAUAUUUGUUUAAUUACACACAAAUCAUGUUGAACAUAACUAUAAAAAUCUGCAAUUAUCAGCAAAUUUAGAAGCCUGACACCAUCUUCAUCUGUAAAAGGACUUGAACGAAUUGGAUCUUCUUCAUCCUCAGUCACUAACAGAAGAUACUGAACUGUAUCUUCAUGGGCAUAAGCAGCAGCACGAUGAAGUGGGGUGUCAUUACCAGAGUUUCUUUCUUGAGGCAAUUUUGGAUUUUUGUUAACCAGAAGCUUUGCAGCUGCUGUGUUUCCAGCUACACCAGCAUAGUGAAGAGGAGUAUCGCCAUACUUAGUUUUUAUUCCAAGUUCAUCUGCUGACAUUCUAUCUACAAGCUUCUGCACAAAUUCAAUGGAAUGACCAGCGCUGAUUGAGACAUGAAGAGCAGUCUCAUGUAAGCCUAAAAUUUUAGCAGUUAGAGCAUUUGAAUCACUGUCAAAAAUUCUCUUUGCAGAAAUCCAAUCCCCAUGUAGUGCAGCUUUAUACAGUGGCAAAUAGUGGUUAUCAUUCUCACUUCCCAUCUCUUGCACUCCUGUGAAGAACAAAAAUUAAGUAAAAAAUAAAACAAAAAUCCAGAAAUGAAGAAAUUUUAAAGGGUACCAAGGAAAUAAAUCUUUAUUUCUUGGCUGGGAAUGCUGGAAUCUGCAUAUUCUUGGAGUAAAAUGGGAGAAAGUGAAAGAUCUGCUCCUUUACUUUAUGCUUUUGUAGCAAGUCCUUGCUUGUUUCAUUCUCAUCUACCAUUUCUUGCGUCCUGCAAUAACAGAAAACUGAAAAAAAAUAAAAAUAAAAAAUACACUAAGGAAGAAGAAAUAGAAGUGGCUUUCAUGUUAGAGCUUCGCAUUCAUUUGUUGACAAAGACAAAAUUGGAAUUUUAAGGCAUAUAUAAUUUUUUUUAGACAAGUGGGGAUAGCAAUUUGUGUUGAAAACAAAAGGGCAUAGACUUAUAAUAAUGUUAAUUAAUUAAAUAUUUUUAUGUGCUGUGACACCAAAUUUCUAUCCAAAUUAUAUACUUCACAUAAUUAAAAAAUUUUAAAUUUUUUUAUGACAUAUGAAUAUAAUAAAAUAAUUUACAUAAUCUUGUUACACUCUCCCUAAUUUAAGUUUUAAAUUUAAAUAUAAUUACAAUAAAUUUUAAAAUUUUAAAUAAUUUUAUGAAAUUUUAAAAUUUUAAAUUAAAUUAAAAAUUAAAAAUUUUCAUGUAAAUAACAUUUUAUUUUUUGUUGCAAAUUGGGUAUUAUUCAAUUCUAAUUAAGUAGUCAAACCAAAUUAAUCAUUCUUUCAAUUCUUCUAUUAUGAUUUUAGUUUGGUUGAUUUUCAAAUUUUUAUUAUUUCAAUUGAUUUUAUUAAUUUAACGUUUGAGUAUAUAAUCGAAUGUUGAAUAACUAUUGAAUGAAAGAUUUUUUUUUGUGAGAUUUAUUAUUUAAUAUCUGAAUAUUGUUAUUAUUAUCAAAUUAGUAUUGAAUAUUGUUAUUAUUAUCAAAUCAGUCUCUACAGUUUUAAAAAUCUAUUAAAAUGUUUUUAUUUUUUGUUUUCAUUAACGAAAUAGUCAUUCCGUUAUUUUUUUUCAUUAAAAACAGAUAAAAUAUUAUUUUUUGUUUUCAUUAACGAAAUAGUCAUUCCGUUAUUUUUUUUCAUUAAAAACAGAUAAAAUAUAAAAGCGAUGAAAGAGAAAAUUUUUAAAAUUUAAUUUUACCCUCAAAUAAAAUAUUUUUUUAGUUUCUUGAUAUUACGAUUAUUAAUAAAUAUAUCCCUUCAUUUUUAGAAAUCUAUUAAAACAUUUUUUUUUCAGAUAUAUUAAAACGUUUUUAUCUUUUCUUUUCUCAGAUCUAUUAAAAUGUCUUUAUUGUUACUUUCCCAUCAACAAAAUAGUCUUUUUCGUCAUUCUCUUAAAAAAAAUAAUAAAAAGAAGAAGGAGAAGAAGAUGAUGAAGAAGAAAAAGAAGAAAAAAAAAAGAAAAAGAACAAGAAGAGAAAGAACAAGAAGGAGAAGCAAAAAGAAGAAUCGAAGAAGAAGAGGAAGAAUCGAAGAAGAAGAAGGAAAACGGGAAGGAGAAGGAGAAAGAGGAGGAAGAGGAGAAGAGGGAGGAUAGUUUUGUUUUUUGUUAUAUUUUUAACGAUAGAAAUUGACAGAGAGAAAAAUAAAAACGUUUUAAUAGGUUUUUAAAAAUUUAGAGACUGACUUGUUAAUAAUGGUAAUAUUUAGAGACUAAAUUAUAAAUUUUCUUUUUCUUUUUUCACAGAUUGAUUGACUGUAUUCAGAAAAUUCAAAAUAUCUCCUUUAUUUUUUGAGUUGGGUCUACAACAUCUGUCUAGUUUAAACCACCUCCUCCUUUUGUCAAAUGUAACAUUAAUGCAGUAGUACCAGUGAAUCGGACUGGUGUUGGUCUUGGUUGGCUGUUAAGAGACUUGCAAGGAUGUUUCAGGAGCUGCUAUUUUCUUGACAGUUCCGAAAGAAUGGAGCUACUAAGAACAACCAAGAUCUCGAAUGCCAAACCCCCAAUGAUCCUUAGCACGUCGUACACUUUCCCGAGAAACCAAAGCAAAUUUUCUUUUCUAAUUUGCUCAUGAGCUUAUUAUCCUAGGUCGCCACUAUUAAUUACUCUAAACUUUAUUAAAGUUUAACCUAGAAACAAAAUAUUAAUAAAACUGUGCUAUACUCAUUAUUAUUCAUUCCCUAAAUAUUAAAUGAAAAAAUCAACCAACUUUCUAUAUGAAAUGAACCAUUUCUUCUAAGCAAACUGUGAUUGAAGGCAGCAAAAACAAAAUACUAAAAUCUAUAGGUCAACCGGCCGGUGGUGGCUGUUCCAUCGUCUACAGAUUAGUUGAUCGGAGGCUGGAUGAUCUGACUGAGAAGGGUCAUGAUCAUUUCAUUGGAAGAUUCGGACGAUAGGGAAGCAUGGUGUUAGCUAGCUUUUCAUUCAACUUGAAUGGCAAUGGUGGCAUCUGCUUCAUUACAUCAGGCGUCAUUCAACCUGCAAAUAUAAACGAGACAGAUGAAUUCUAUUUGGGAAGAAAUAGGAUCAAGCUUGACAGGAACUCAGUCAGAUCAUCAAAGGCACAAGUUCCAACAUACUCGUUCAUAAUCUUGAGGAUGUUAUCACGAGUUCAGCAGAGGAGACUGAUGUUCUUCUGUAGCUGAAAAAGAAAAAUAUAAGAAAAAUGCCUUCAGUUUCACGGCUACAACUGCAAGACAUGCAUGAAGCAGGAUGAAAAACAAGAACACUAGCAAACGCUUUUCACAGAAAUUACGGGUCAAGAAGCACCACCACAAACAUCAUUAAAGAGAAAACAAAAGCAUUACCCCAUUUGAGAAUUCUAAUUUGGGACCUGAUCAGAUCCAAUAUUAUUAAAUUACAAAUAUCCAACAAAUUUCUGACCUCCCUCCAAAUACUGGCCAAGAAAAAGGUGUUUUUCGUAUUAUGAAUUGCCACAAUGACCCAUCAUAAAUUCUUCCUCCUUAUCUUGAACCUCAUUAACGACAUCACAUUCAUCCAUUAAAUGAUUACAAGUAUAACUUAACAUAAGUUUCUUGACAUGAUGUGCACUUGAGGCUGAAUCAUCUCCCUUCAUCAACUCAUUUACAAUCACACACAAACUGUUUCAGGUGGAAGCAGAAAAUGGUAAACUCCAAUUAAUUUAUCUCA